GACGAACGCUGGCGGCGUGCUUAACACAUGCAAGUCGAACGGAAAGGCCCUGCUUUUGUGGGGUACUCGAGUGGCGAACGGGUGAGUAACACGUGAGUAACCUGCCCUUGACUUUGGGAUAACUUCAGGAAACUGGGGCUAAUACCGGAUAGGAGCUCCUGCUGCAUGGUGGGGGUUGGAAAGUUUCGGCGGUUGGGGAUGGACUCGCGGCUUAUCAGCUUGUUGGUGGGGUAGUGGCUUACCAAGGCUUUGACGGGUAGCCGGCCUGAGAGGGUGACCGGCCACAUGGGGACUGAGAUACGGCCCAGACCCCUGCGGGGGGCAGCAGUGGGGAAUAGUGCACAAGGGCGGAAGCCUGAUGCAGCAACGCCGCGUGCGGGAUGACGGCCUUCGGGUUGUAACCCGCUUUCGCCUGUGACGAAGCGUGAGUGACGGUAAUGGGUAAAGAAGCACCGGCUAACUACGUG
Molecule: ribosomal RNA, 467 nt
Filed under: uncultured bacterium
Lineage: Bacteria
Description: partial 16S ribosomal RNA
Rfam family: Bacterial small subunit ribosomal RNA
Source: RNAcentral